Molecule: ribosomal RNA, 351 nt
Filed under: uncultured bacterium
Lineage: Bacteria
Description: bacterial SSU rRNA
Rfam family: Bacterial small subunit ribosomal RNA
Source: RNAcentral
AACGAACGCUGGCGGCAGGCUUAACACAUGCAAGUCGAACGGGCGUAGCAAUACGUCAGUGGCGGACGGGUGAGUAACACGUGGGAAUAUGCCUUUCGGUUCGGAACAACUCGGGGAAACCCGUGCUAAUUCCGGAUACGCCUUACGGGAAGAUUAUCGCCGAAGAUUAGCCGCGUUGGAUUAGCUAGUUGGUGAGGUAAAGGACUCACCAAGGCGACGAUCCAUAGCUGGUUUGAGAGAACGACCAGCCACACUGGGACUGAGACACGGCCCAGACUCCUACGGGAGGCAGCAGUGGGGAAGUCUUGGACAAUGGAGGAAACUCUGAUCCAGCCAUGCCGCGUGAGUGAU